RNAcentral lists this long non-coding RNA (799 nucleotides) under Homo sapiens (human). RNAcentral describes it as "HSALNT0165583". Lineage: Eukaryota; Metazoa; Chordata; Mammalia; Primates; Hominidae. The record is from RNAcentral.
CAGAAGCAUUACCUGCCCCAGAGGCUACCUGCCACUCAGUGAAGAUCAUAUGCCUAAGUCAUGACAUCAACAUCAAACUCUCUUCAAAUCUGGGAGAAAGGCUCAGCUCUUACAACCAGGACAAGAAGAAAUGACACCAGUAGAGAGAUCAUUUGGUGAGCAGCAGGGUUGAAAGAGCCUCAAACCAUGGAGAGAGAGCCUGGAUCUCGAGUAGAAAGGCUUCUGGCACUGAAGAAGUCAAACAGGAUCCCUGAGAGGGAAAAAGCCAGGAGCUUGGGGAAUUAUCUUCACCAAGGUCUGUCUAGAGAUGUGGUUGGCAGAUUUAUGACCCCCAAAGAUGUCUACAUCCUAAACCCAGGAAUCUGUGAGUUGCUAAGACUGAGUAAAACAAGAAAAGCAAUGGGGAACCUCACUCACAUCCAUGCUUCCUUGUCUCAUCUGUAUGUAUGAUUUUUGCACAACUUAUUUGAUACUUUGGACAUAAAGCAAGGUAAAGUACACUCGAAUUGAGUCCAAGGUGAUAUUACUACCAAUCCUUUAAUCCAAGCUUUAUUUAGUGGUUGAACUUAGCAAAAUUUACUUGGUAAAUUCACAUGAAAUAUCAGAACCAAUCGUAGAUGCCUCAGGGAGAUAGGGUGGAAUAAUUGAAAGGGAGAGGAAGUAUCCCUAUUUAUGUUAUUUUUGUAGCUGUGAAGUUUUAAAUCUGUUGAGAAAAAUCUUGCUUCCAUAUUAAGAGAUCAUGCCUAAAAGUAGAAAAGAAAAAAAGAAAAGCAGAGUGAGAGAUGGAGAAAGACCAGGU